AUUGAACGCUGGCGGCAUGCCUUACACAUGCAAGUCGAACGGCAGCGGACCUUCGGGUGCCGGCGAGUGGCGAACGGGUGAGUAAUAUAUCGGAACGUACCUUUCAGUGGGGGAUAACGUAGCGAAAGUUACGCUAAUACCGCAUAUUCUGUGAGCAGGAAAGCAGGGGAUCGCAAGACCUUGCGCUGAUUGAGCGGCCGAUAUCAGAUUAGCUAGUUGGUGAGGUAAAGGCUCACCAAGGCGACGAUCUGUAGCGGGUCUGAGAGGAUGAUCCGCCACACUGGAACUGAGACACGGUCCAGACUCCUACGGGAGGCAGCAGUGGGGAAUAUUGGACAAUGGGGGCAACCCUGAUCCAGCCAUGCCGCGUGUGUGAAGAAGGCC
This 384-nucleotide ribosomal RNA is filed under the name uncultured bacterium. RNAcentral's name for it is "bacterial SSU rRNA". It matches the Rfam family "Bacterial small subunit ribosomal RNA", at positions 30 to 416 of the family's 1533-position model. The record is from RNAcentral.